GGGUCGGUGCCCGAGCGGCCAAAGGGAGCGGGCUGUAAACCCGCCGGCUCACGCCUACGGAGGUUCGAAUCCUCCCCGGCCCA
Molecule: transfer RNA, 83 nt
Filed under: Acidimicrobiales bacterium
Lineage: Bacteria; Bacillati; Actinomycetota; Acidimicrobiia; Acidimicrobiales
Description: tRNA-Tyr
Rfam family: tRNA
About the family: Transfer RNA (tRNA) molecules are approximately 80 nucleotides in length. Their secondary structure includes four short double-helical elements and three loops (D, anti-codon, and T loops).
Source: RNAcentral